RNAcentral lists this ribosomal RNA (301 nucleotides) under uncultured bacterium. Its description in RNAcentral is "partial 16S ribosomal RNA". It matches the Rfam family "Bacterial small subunit ribosomal RNA", at positions 509 to 808 of the family's 1533-position model. The record is from RNAcentral.
CAGUCGCCACGGUAAUACGUAGGGUGCAAGCGUUAAUCGGAAUUACUGGGCGUAAAGCGUGCGCAGGCGGUUAUAUAAGACAGAUGUGAAAUCCCCGGGCUCAACCUGGGAACUGCAUUUGUGACUGUAUAGCUAGAGUACGGCAGAGGGGGAUGGAAUUCCGCGUGUAGCAGUGAAAUGCGUAGAUAUGCGGAGGAACACCGAUGGCGAAGGCAAUCCCCUGGGCCUGUACUGACGCUCAUGCACGAAAGCGUGGGGAGCAAACAGGAUUAGAUACCCCAUAGUCCCUGUCUCUUAUACA